This is a long non-coding RNA of Coregonus clupeaformis (lake whitefish), 454 nucleotides long. RefSeq lists it as uncharacterized. The transcript has 3 exons. Lineage: Eukaryota; Metazoa; Chordata; Actinopteri; Salmoniformes; Salmonidae. The record is from RefSeq and is a predicted model, not a curated record.
AACAUAGUCACCAUCUUGUCUUCCUGUUAGAGUGACAGCGGAGGUGAAGCACAACCCGACGGGGACCAUAGUGUGUAAGGCCCAAGGGGAAUGGAACGGCACCCUGGAGUUCACCUACAGCAGUGGGGAGACCAAGGUCAUCAACACCUCCAAGCUGCCUGUCAUCAGGAAGAAGAUACGACCCAUGGAGAAACAGGGACACUACGAAUCACGGCGUCUGUGGCAGCAUGUUACCUCAGCUCUCAGGUCAGGAAACAUUGACUCCGCUACAGAGCACAAACAUUGUCUGGAGGAGAGGCAGAGAGCAGAGGGCCGACAGAGAGCUGCCUCCAACACACCCUGGAAACCCAAGUACUUCAUCAAGGAGGGCGAGGGCUGGGUGUAUCACAACCCCUUGUGGAAGACUCACUGACGAGGGGAGGGGCCUCGGGGGGGGGAGGGGCAACAUGCCAGC